Molecule: RNA transcript, 4514 nt
Organism: Solea solea (common sole)
Lineage: Eukaryota; Metazoa; Chordata; Actinopteri; Pleuronectiformes; Soleidae
Gene: tubgcp5
Gene name: tubulin gamma complex component 5
Exons: 24
Source: RefSeq, a predicted model, not a curated record
AAACAAAUGGUCAAAGGUUUCGAGAGCUUGGUCCACACUCCUGACCAGGAGGGGGCAGUAGUGCAUUAUUAGUACGUGUUUGACAACAGCUAGAGCGUUUGCUGCUGCGCAUGCGCAGUCCGUUUGUUGUGAUGCACUGUUUGGCGGUUCAGUCGCAGAUGAAUGAAUGAAUGUCUGUGUCUCUUGUCCUUCACUACAAAUGUCCUAAAUCCAACAGUCCGUCCUCUGCGCUAACCUGUUAGCCCGUGUUAGCCUGCAGUAGUCAUUAGCCUCUCCUGCUAACAGAUGCUAACGGCAGGCUAACGAACAUGGCGCACUGGAGCACUUUCGAAAAGGAGACAGAGAGAGAGACGAAAAGACUGGUCUCAUGUCUCACUGGAAUCCAGGACGAGGACGAGCAGAACUUUCAGCUGGCGCUGAAGUUCACCUGUUCAAACUUCAGAUUUCAUCGUUACCUGGACGCGGACAGUCAUAAAGUCCAACGCAGCAUCAGAGGGAUCUAUGAGAAGCUUAUGGUUCACUCUGACCUGAGUAAAGCAGAAAGCUGGAUGAGGCUCACCGAGGAGUUCCUGAACUCACCUUUACCAAACACAGAUGGAACUAAGACUAAUGUUCACUUCAGUGUCCUGUCACUGCUGCUGCUGUUGUCAGCCUCUCCUUUAAAGACAAGCUUCACUGAGAGACACAGGGUGAAGGACGCUGAACCAGAGGAUUCCUUUGACUGGGGUAAAUAUCUGACGGAAGGCGAGGACGUGGACAUUGGACCAUAUCCAGACACACCUGAGUGGUCUGAGGAGGAGAGCGAGGAUGAUGACAGUCAGCAGCCAAUCAGCAGAGAGGAUUCUGGGAUCCAGUUGGACAGAACGCCACAGGAGGACCAGGACAAUAGCAACAAAGCAGUUCCAGUCACAUGGACAGUCGGUGAACCUGACGCUCGGUCCUGGCUCGAGCAGCACGUAGUGACGCCGUACUGGGUGUCACACGCUCCUCGCUUCCCUCACAGCCUCCACUUACACUCCAACUUACUCAACGUGUGGGAUCAACACUUGUAUAACACUGAUCCUUUGUAUCUGCCGGAAGAAAAAGCCUUUGUCACAGAGACCCAAGUGAUACGGGAGACACUGUGGCUUCUGUCUGGUGUGAAGAAACACUUCAUAUUCCAGCACCACGAUGGGAAAGUGUGUGUGAGGAACAAUGUGGUGGUCACUCAUCUCACCAGUAACUGUCUUCGCUCUGUGCUGGAACACAUCGCCGUGUACGGGCAGGCGGUGUUCAUGCUGCAGACGUUCAUAGACGAGGUAACGGGCCACAGCUCGGAGCCCGGCCCGCCGAGCUCCGGUUCCUCAUACGGCUCCAAGAAAGGUUCUGAUCCUCCCUUCAGGACGUACCAGGCCUUUGUGUGGGCGCUCAACAAGUACUUCACCAGCUUCAAAGAGGAGCUGAUCACCAUCGAGAGGGAGCUCAUACGCAACGAUGACACAGUGACUCUGUGUGCAGUUCUGGAGCGACUCAGCUCUCACCUGGCACAGAUCAAAGUCCUGCACAGAGUGUUCUGCACUGGCGUCGCUGAGGUUCCGCCUGAGACGCCCAACGUGGUGCGAGCUUCGCAUUUACUCAACACCCUGUACAAAGCCAUCAUUGAGUAUGACAGUGCUGGAGAAGCAUCAGAGCAAACAGUGGCACUGUUGUUUUCUCUCUGGACAGAGACGGUCAGACCGUACCUGGAGAUAGUGGACGAAUGGAUUGUUCACGGGCACCUGUUUGACCCCGCAAAAGAGUUCAUCAUCCAAAGGAACAAAGACGUUCCAGUGAACCACAGGGACUUCUGGUACGCCACCUACACCCUGUACAGUGUGUCGGAGACCAACGAGGAGAAGCUGAACGACGCGGCCAGUGGCAGCUCUGGAGGAGAUCCAGGCUCCAGCAACAGCCAGCUCACCAUGGUGUCCUUCCUCAAACCCGUCCUCAAGCAGAUCAUCAUGGCGGGUAAAUCCAUGCAGCUGCUGAAGAACCUGGACUGUAAGGAGGCCGAGCCUUCACAGAGAUCCUCCAGAGAUGCAGAGAGAAAGAGUCUGUACACGCUGUUCUUAGAGUCGGUGCAGUCUCGUCUCUGCAGCCACGAGGAGUCUCCCACAGACGCGGUGACCGAACAACAGGCCACCAGGAGGAGUCUGGUGAAGAUGCACUCCAUCACGGCCCGGCAUCUGGAGAUCGACGACGUCCAUGACCCACUGUUGGCCAUUAACUUUGCCAGACUGUACCUGGAGCAGAGUGAUUUUCACGAGCGCUUCUCUGGUGGUGAUUUCAUCGUGGAUCGCUCGUCUCAGUCGGUCACCUGUCAGACGUUUGAGCUCACGCUGCGCUCGUGUCUCUACCCUCACAUCCAGAGGAGAUACAUCGAGUGCUGUGGAAACCUGAUGACCACGCUCAAGAAGGACUACAAGAUCCUUGAGUUCCUUCAGGCCAUGAGGAACUACUUCCUGCUGGAGGCGGGAGACACCAUGUACGACUUCUACACCUCCAUCUUUGACAAAGUGCAGGAGAAGGAGAGCUGGCAGCAGCUUUCCUUCCUCAACGUACAGCUGCAGGAGGCUGUGAGACAGCGCCACCCAGAGGACAGUAGCAGGUUGUCAGUGUUUUUGGAGAACAUUGACACCUCCAGGAAAAAACAUCCUGUCAAUAACCUGGAGGUUCUGACUCUCAGUUACAAGGUUCCCUGGCCUGUUGACAUCGUGAUCAGCAGCGAGUGCCAGAAAAUCUACAAUCAAGUCUUUCUCCUGCUGCUGCAGAUCAAAUGGGCCAAAUACAGUUUAGACACCAUUCGAUUCAGUGAUCUCACCUCUGCCACGGUGAAACUAGAGGGCGCUGUGUGUGAGGAAGUGAAGAUCAGAGAGUCAGUGAAUCAACAGAUUCACCGCAUGUGUCUGCUGAGAGUCAAACUGAUGCACUUUGUCAACAGUCUGCACAACUACAUCAUGACCAGGAUUCUGCACAGCACAGGUCUGGAGUUUCAGCACCAAGUUCAGGAAGCUAAAGAUCUGGACCAGCUGAUCAAGAUCCAUUAUAGAUAUCUGGCAACAAUCCACGACCGCUGCCUGCUGAGAGAGAAGGUCAGUUUUGUGAAAGAAGCAAUAAUGAAGGUUCUGAACCUGGUUCUGAUUUUCUCUGACCGAUGGCAGGCUGGCUUUGGAGCCUGGAGGAUCGAGUCCAUCGAUAAAAUGGAGUCUGACUUCAAAAACUGUCACAUGUUCCUGGUGACGAUCCUGAAUAAAGCCGUGUGUCGCGGCUCCUUCCCUCACUUGGAGUCUCUGGCUCUGUCUCUGAUGGCAGGGUUUGAACAGUGCUGAGGACCAAGAGCUGUCACUGUGAUGUCACAGUUAUGUCUCUGUGAUGUCACCGAUAUGUCACUGUGAUGUCAUCACCUGCUCUGAUUUAAAAAUGUGCAUACUCUACCAAGUACAAACGGACAGACAUUGUAUUUUAUGUACACCACUCAUCAAGUCAGUGGAGUCAGACGCAGGGUGAUGAGUACCAAUAAAGUUCCCCUCAAAUUGGUGGAACUUCCUAAGAGACAACAACAAGGCAAUCAGAGAUGGCAGACUUCACCCUAUUCACGCAACAAGCCUCUGUCGGCCUAUAUGUGUAACAGACUCGGGGUCAAAAUUCUAAAAAAGUUAUUCUAAAUUCUAACAAGCUUGGCUGACAAGAUAUCCCAGAUGUCUGCCACAAACAUGAUCGUUGUGAUCAAAGAAGAUGGUGCUGUGAGCAAUCACCCAGUAAGCCUGGUGAAAAUGGCCCCCUGCAGUCAUGAGGAAGCUGACACUUGAAUAGGCCAGGCAGGCAGUAGAGGAGGGUUGCCUUUGGCCAAGGCCUGAAUCUGAGGUGGAUUCCCAUCCAUGAACUCUUUUUGUCUAUUGGAUUGCAGAAGAGCAAAGGCAUUCUCCUCUUCCAUGCCUUCACUGGCUGCGAUGUUGUGUCAGCCUUCCAUGGUAAAGGCAAGAAGACUGCAUGGCAAACCUGGGAUGUUUGUCCUGAGGCAAACUCAGCCAGUAUCCACCAACAAUACACGAUGCUGACAUGAAGACAUUGGAAAACUUUGUGGUCAUGAUGUAUGACAGAUCCAGUAUAGCUGAUGGUGUUGAUGAUGCAAGGUUAGACAUGUUUGCUCGGAAGCAGAGGCCAUAAGAAGCAUCCCUCCUACUCAAGCUGCUCUACUCCAACAUGUAUCAGGCAGGUUGCAUAUGGGGUCAAUCAUUAGUCAACCAGAAACAAAGUCCUACUCGCUGGGGAUGGACCAAGAAAGUUGAUCUGUGGCAGAUCUUCUGGACCAAUCUCACCCCUAUUGCAGAAAGUUGCCAAGAACUGACCAAGGGUGGUUGCAAAUUUGAAUGUCAUGGAAGGUGCACAUGCUUAUGCUUUGGUCUUACUUGCACAGUACUGUGUAGCUGUAGAUGUGAAGAUUAAGCUCUGUUCCAUACAUUAGUUAGAGCAUGGUUUAGGUGAUUAUAUAUUCU